GGAAAGGCUUACGGUAGAUACCUAGGCACCCAGAGAUGAGGAAGAGCGUAGUAAGCAACGAAAUGCUUCGGGGAGUUAAAAAUAAUCAUAGGUUCAAAGAUUCCUGAAUAGGUCAACCUUUCAAACUGCUACUGAAUCUAUGGGUAGACAAGAGACAACCUGGAAAACAAAAACAUCUUAGUAACCGGAGGAAAAGAAAGCAAAAGUGAUUCCCAUAGUAGCGACGAGCGAAAUCAGAGCAGCCUAAAUCAUGAAAAUGGAGUUGUGAGAGAGUAAUAAAAGUGUAGUGUUGCUAGGCAAAGCGGUGAAGUGUCGAACCCUAGAUGAUGAUAGUCCAAUAGCCGAAAGCAUCACUAGCUUACGCUCUGACUCAAGUAGCAUGAGGCACGUGGAAUCCCGUGUGAAUCAGUAAGGACCACCUUGCAAGGCUAAAUACUUUUGGGUGACCGGUAGCUAAGUAGUACCGUGAGGGAAGGGUGAAUAGAACCCCCGUUAGGGAGUGAAAUAGAACAUGAAACUAUAAGCUCCCAAGCAGUGGGAGAAGCCUAUGCCUCUAACUGUGUGCCUGUUGAAGAAUGAGUCUACGACUCAUAGGUAGUGGAUUGGUUAAAAGAACCCACCAGAGCUGUAGUGAGAACGAGUGUUCAUAGGGCAAUUUUCACUGCUUAUGGACCCGAACGUAAGUGAUCUAUAUGACCAGGAUGAAGCUUCGGUGAAACUAAAUGGAGGUCCGAAUCUAUUGAUGUUGAAGAAUUAGCGGAUGAGUUGUAGUUAGGGGUGAAAUUCCACUUGAACCCAGAGCUAGCUAGUUCUCCCUAAAAUUGGUUGAGGCAUAGUAGUUGACUGGACAUCUAUGGGUAAAACACUAUUUCGGUGUAGGCCACGAGAGUGGCACUGAAUCGAGGCAAACUCUGAAUACUAGAUAUGACCUCAAAAUAAUAAGGGUCGAGGUCGACUAGUGAGAAGGUGGGGGAUAAACUUCAUCGUUGAGAGGUAAAUAACUCGGAUCACCAGCUAAGGCCCAUAAAUUACCGCUUAGUGAUAAAUGAGGUAAGGGUGUAGAGAUAGCCAAGAGGUUUUCCUAGAAACAGCCACCCUUGAAAGAGUACGUAGUAGCUCACUAAUUGAGCGAUCUUACACCAAAUAUGAACGAGGCUAAGCAAUCUGCCAAAGCUGUAGGAUGUAAAAUGCAUCGAUAAGAGAGUGUUCCGUCUUAGGGGGAAGCACCCACGUGAGUGAGAGUAGACGAAGUGGAAGAGAGAAUGUCGGCUUGAGUAAUGCUAACAUUGGUGAGAAUCUAAUGCCUUGAAAACCUAAGGGUUCCUCUGCAAGGUUCAUCCAUAGAGGGUAAGUUAGGGCCUAAGAUCAGGCCGAAAGGCAUACUCGAUGGGCAACAGGUGAAUAUUCCUGUACUACCCCUUGUUGGUCCCGAGGGACAGAGGAGGCUAGGUUGGUUGAAAUAUGGUUAUCGGUUCAAGGACCUAAGUUGCCCCUGCUUUUUCAAGUUAAGAAGAGGUAGAGAAAAUGCCCUGAGCCAAUGUUUGAGUACCAGGCGCUACGACAUUGAAGUAACCCAUGCUAUACUCCUAGGAAAAGCUCGAACGACCUUUAACAAAAGGGUACAUGUACCCGAAACUGACAUAGGUGGGUAGGUAGAGAAUACCUAGGGGCGUGAGACAAUUCUCAUAAAGGAACUCGGCAAAAUAGCCCCGUAACUUUAGGAGAAGGGGUGCCUCAUCAUAAAGGGGGUCACACUUACUAGGCCCAAGCGACUGCUUACCAAAAACCUGUCUGCAAAGUCGUAAGACCAUGUAUGGGGGCUAACGCCUACCGAAUACCUGAAGGUCAAGAAAGUUGGUAACCUGAUGACAGGGGAGCCGGCGAUCAAAGUCCUAGUGAAUGGCAGCCAAAACUCUAACGGUCCUAAGGUAGCAAAAUUUCUUGUCGGCUAAAUUCUAACCUGCAUGAAAGGCGUAACAAUCUAGGCACUGUCUCGGAAAGAGGCUCGGUGAAAUAAGCUUGUCUGUGAAGAUGCAGACUACCUACAACUAGAUAGAAAGACCCUAUGAAGCUUCACUAUUCCCUAGGAUUGGCUUUGGGCUUUUCCUGCGCAGCUAAGGUGGAAGGUGAAGAAGACCUCCUUUUGAAGGGCCCGAGCCAUCAAUGAGAUACCACUCUUGAAGAGCUAGAGUUCUAACCUUGUCUUAAGACCUACGAGCCAAGAGACAGUCUAAGGUAGACAGUUUCUAUGGAAGUAGGCCUCCCAAAAGGUAAUGGAGGCGUGUAAAGGUUUCCUCAGGUCGGAUGGAGAAUGGCCCUCGAGUGCAAAGGCAGAAGGGAGCUUGAUUGCAAAACCCACCCGUCGAGCAGGGAUGAAAGUUGGCCUUAGUGAUCCGAUAGUGUCGAGUGGAAGGGUCGUCACUCAAAAUAUAAAAUUUACUCUAGGGAUAAUAGGCUGAUCUUCCCCAAGAGCUCACAUCAACGGGAAGGUUUGGCACCUCGAUGUCGGCUCUUCACCACUUGAGGAUAUAGUAUGUUCCAAGGGUUGGGCUAUUCGCCCUUUAAAAUGGUACAUGAGUUGGGUUUAGAAUUUCAUGAGAUAGUUCAAACCAUAUUCGGUGUGGGCAUUAGAGCUUUGAGAUGACGUUUCCGUAGUACUAGAGGACUGGGAUGGAUGCACCUCUAGUGUACUAGUUAUAAUACCCACAGUAAACGCUGGGUAGCCAAGUGUAGAGUGGAUAACUGCUAAAAGCAUCUAAGUAGUAACCCCACCCCAAGAUGACUGUUCUCCUAUUCUGACUUCCCCAGAGCCUCUGGUGGCAUAGUCGAGAUAGCAAGGGGUUCUUUGUCAUUUAAUUCAAAAUUUUGACCCAAUUGAGCUAAUAGAAUGAUGCCAAAGAG
Molecule: ribosomal RNA, 2901 nt
Filed under: Gossypium raimondii (Peruvian cotton)
Lineage: Eukaryota; Viridiplantae; Streptophyta; Magnoliopsida; Malvales; Malvaceae
Description: bacterial LSU rRNA
Rfam family: Bacterial large subunit ribosomal RNA
Source: RNAcentral